GAAUAAGCCGUCACCCUGCUUUCUCAGCACACAUUUUACGAAGAAUUGUGCGCGGUUUAUUAAUACGGUACAUUCAAACAACGAACCACACUCCAAAAGUAAUAGGUUUGUUUGACUCGAGGUCUCUUUUUGACCUGUUAACUCUCAGGGCGCCCUUUUCCGGAAGCAGUAUGGCGGAUGGUCGUUUUACUCGCGGGGGCAAGUUGCUCUCAGGUCACUCAGGUCAUGCUCUCGAUGCUCCUCCUCUCGAGGAAGAGUUGCGAGGGUAAGUCGUCUGCUAGUUGUUUUGGCGCGACUUUGACGAUGGAGUCAAUAUGUUAUCAGGCUACAUUUGGUGAUGACGGCAAUAUUUUAAUAGAUGACGAAGGUUUUGUAUUGUUCAAACCAACAGAUUCCUCAUAUGCUUCAGUUAGAAUCAAAGUGACUGAACUUGAACUGCAGAAAGGUGUUACUGUCGUCAAGACACCAGAUCAUAAAACUUUAAAGUUGUUUACAUCCAGAAUUGCAAAUUUGGAAGUGCAACAAAAACAGCAUGUUACACAUUUGGAAGAAUGUAACACACCUGCUGCUGAUGAAGUUGGUCCUGAAUUUUAUUGGACAGAUGAAACGAUGAAACUUUUCUUGGAGCAGUUUGCUUUGAAAAAGACAUUGUUAGACAAACGUCAUUUUAAAACGCAAAAAGGGAUGUUUGCAGCCAUUGCAACCAGUAUGCAAACAUAUGGUUAUAAAGUUACUGGUAACCAGAUUGAAAAUAAAUACAAACUCCUGGCCAAAACCAUAAAAAAUUACACCCUAAGAAACCAUAAAAAAAUAGCACUGGGAAGGGUAGGAAGGCACUACCUUAUGAGCGGGAGAUGAUGGAAAUGUUUGGCAGGCAGCACUCCAUCGUACUUGCAUGUGUGUCAGGGGCCAGUGGCACAAAAAAUAGAGCUGACCUGUUACUGGAAGCAGGCAUUGUGCUGCCUCAAGAAACAGAUUUAAGGAGUAAUCAAAGCAGUUCUACGGAGGAUUGUGCAAGUGCCAGCCCUAUAGUGAGUGUUAGUGGAGCACUGGGCUCUCCAGCACUAUCGUCCUAUGCAGGAUCCAUUAGCUCUCCAGUCCCAGUGGGAAUGCCUGUUUUAAGUUCAACUCCACCUGUUGAAAGCAAUGUGCGGAGCCAAAACAGCUCAAUACGCAAAAGGUAUGGUAGGAGAGAUGGGGCAACUGCUGUUGCGUUGAAUGCCCUCAAAGAGACAAUUUUGCUACAAACAACAGCAAUACAAGAAGAAAAAUCAAGGAGAAUGGAUGCUCAUGCAGAGAUGGUAACUCUGUAUAAGCAAAAUGUCAUUGAAAUUAAACGUUCUAAUGACAUUAGGGAGGAAAGGAACAGGCUUUUAGCUCAACAAGUGGAGUUACUUCGCCAACUAAUCCCAUCAACUAGCAACAGCAGCAUGAGUGACAGUUCUGCAGAUAAGUAGAGAUUUCGACAAACUGUGUGUAUGUAUGUUAUUGGAUUAAAAAAAAAUUAUACCCUCAUGAAACUUAAGAAAUGGUUGUAAAUAUAUCCCAUUAUUAGCUUCACUUGUAGCACUACCGUGGUUGGACCUCGAACUAAUUUCAAAAUGGCAGCCAUGGCGGGUUUUUCAAAACUCCUUGUGCUCUAUAUUUAUAUAACCUAUUUUGCAUGUGCCAUUAAAAAUGUUAUCAUUGUAUUAUUCUGUGCACUAAAAAAACAAUUCAAAUUUUCAAAUGCUAUCUAAUCAAUUAUGUAAAGAAAAGCUAUCCAUAAAUUUCAGCUUAAUAUCAAACCUAAAAUGAAAAAAAAAAAUUAAAAUGUAAUUUUCCUUACCUUUGUAACUAGAAAAUCUAAAUAAAUACAAGUAACACAAGAAAUUCAACUCAGGAAUGAUGGUAAAAUGGUGCUUGUGGUGAAGAUAAGGUACUUAAUGGAAAUAACACAGUGCAUAUAAUCUUUUAAUUAGAACACAAUAGCAUCAGUACAUGAAACUUAGUAGUUAAGAUACACACAAUUCACUCACAACUAGUAGAUAAGAACACUACUUGUAGCAGAACAGCUUGAAACAGUUAAACUUGUACCAAGGAGCAUAGGUAUAAGUAAACAGAGAUUUGAUCCUAGGUUAAACAUAAGUCAUUUUUUUUUUCCUUUUGAAAUCAGACAACAAUUCUGAUACUAGCAACUACACAGCAUUGACUAAAGAAAUUUAGUUUUGUCCUGAACAACAGGAUCUAGGUCCCUUUACAGAAUUCCUCAAUUUAGGAACUAGGGGCACUUCGUACAUUUGUGUCUUAAUAAAAUUGUCUCUAAUAUAUAUUAAUGACACAAAAAUAAAGCAGUUUCUUAAGACUUUUUUAGAAUAAAGUUGGUGUUCAUUGAUAGUGUUAAUCUAAGAAUGAUAUGUUAACCUAGUUAUUUCACAAUACAUAACCAUAUUUGACUCCUUAAAUCAUGAUUUAAAUACAUGCCCAUCUAAUGCAAUGCACACAAAUUUUAUUUAAACAGCAAAUACGCAAUUAUGAAUGUACAAUUCAUGAGUGCCUUCAAAUAAUCAAUGGUACAUUUUAACACACACAGGUACAUAAAAAUUACAUAACACAGUAUUCCAACAUAAACAAUUAUCUAAGUCUCCAGAUACCUUUAUAUUUGAGCCUAUAUACAUGAUUUAAUAGUUAGGCUAUAUAAUUCUACUUUUUAAUAAAUCAGACAGGCAUGUAUGCAUGUGCAAAACACAACAAUCUUUUGACAAAAACAAUUUACAAAAAAAAACCUCUCUGGAGCACCCCUAGGGUGAAUUCAUAAAACGAAAACCAAACCCUAGGGUACCUACUCAAGGAAUAUUUCCUCCUAAUUUAAAAUAUUUAGUUGCGCCGGUUUAGGCUGUGCGUUGUCUGUCACUCAGUAUUAGAGUUUUAAUAAGUAUAUGUUUUAAAAUUUUGGGUACACACGUUAUGGAGUGAUGGAACGCGAUUAUACAAGCACGAGAAGUCAAAACUCAACCGGUGAAGUUUUAAAGGGCGCUUUCCAGCAAAACGAUAUGAACGGGCGAAACAGCGAUCUUUUCCAUUGCGGUGUGGAUCUCUAACAAGAUGGACGCGUGCACGAAUCAAGAGAAUAACUACGUGCAUUGCAUGUACAUACUUGCAGACAUCAACACUAUUAUGCCAAGGACGUUUUACCAGAUGCCUGUAGAGCCUGCUUCAGUUUGUGUUGCCGCAAGAUUUGGCAGUUCUUAUGUGGGGUUUGUGUAGUUGGAAGUUGUUGAACAAAAUAUUUUUCUUCAAUUCAAUAGUGUCCUUUUAUUCUGUAUCAUCAAGUUCUGUCUAGCGCUUCAACAGUUGAAUUUUGAGUAGGUAUACAGCGUACACUGAAUUUUUUUUUUGUAAAUGGAACAGAAAUAUUUACGAAAAAUUACAGAUAUUUGUAAAUCUGAAUAUUUAUAUGAAAACAACUGUACCACUACAAAAUAUGUUCUCAGUGAUACUAAUUUCAGAUUAAUACUCGAGCAUUAAUGCUUUGUGUUGUCCCAAUAGGUCCUUCUAAUAAUCAAAUUUAUGUGUAAACCGUUCUCUAAAUAGCUUACCAGUAUUAACUGCGCACAUUAAUAAGCAUAUUAAAUAUUUGAUUAUCAUUUCCAUGGUUUAGAAAACAUAAAGCUAGAAUGAAACAUAAAUUAAAAAUAGAAUUAUGGACCAAUUUUCUUACAACUUACUCAGUAUUAUCUCGAGAAACGUAUUUCAUAUAGGUAUGGAAAAAUAACCAGAGCCACGUGUUGUAAAACGUUACAAUACAUUUCUUGUAGUAUUACAAACUAUUUCUUGGCAACUGGUUUCUAAACAAAUCUUUUGUAGUAAACGUAUUGAAUUUUUUUCUGUGUACGGUGAUUCGUGCAUGAAGUUGUGUUCUACCUCUCACUAAAGUAUGUGCCAUGAAUAUUUUAUAAGAUUUUUACUAAUAUUCCAUAUGACUAUGCUACUAAUAUUCCAUAUGACUAUGCUUAACAACUUUUUAUGUUGAAGUUACACUGCGCAUUAUUUAUUUACACUGAAACAUCAAAUAAUAAUAGGAAAAUAUGGUGAAAUUAAUUUGUAUAUUUGUGACUCAAACUCACAAAUUUUUUUCAAAUUUAGUAUGAUAUUGGAUAACCCGUUAGCUCAGACAUUCCUUUGAACAAUUAUGCGAUGCAAAACUGUAACAUAGCGUGCUAUCCAGUGCUUUCAUCUAGAGUGAGGGGAGAUCGGAAAGGAAUUUAAAAUGUGGUAUUUACGAGCAAAGAGUUGGGUCAACAAAUAAUCUCGACCCUUUGUUAUUGAAAUAAUCAGCAGGAUUAGACUGAUUAUAAAGGAUCAGAUUCAACUGUUUCGUAAAAAAAUUGAUUGUCUGUAAAGUCGGUUUACAGACGAUAGUUUAACGUGACGUCAUAACAAAACAUUGAUGAAGUGAUUGAUCCAGAAGAAAAGGAAAUAUAUUCGGCCUGAGACUGAGCCAACCAAACCAUUUAGGCAAUAAAAAUAUUAUAUUCUUUGAGGAAGAAAUAUUUUUUUAAUUUUUAUAUCUUUUGUAUGAUAAAAUCUACCUCUGCAUACUUUUAUAAAUGAAAUUGAAUUAUCACUAUUUUGUAUGGAUACAAAGGAGUGAAAUGAAAUGUACAAUUUAAUUAAUAAAUUUACUUUUAUUUGCAUUCAUUAAUUCAAAUAUAUUUAUUACUUUUGAAAUGUUGCGUGCGCCGUAUUUAUUUUUACAAGUACAAAAAAAACUCGCAGUUGCCGAGAUCCGAACCGAUAAUCUUUGGAAUGGAAGUCAUCUAUGCUAACCGCACGGCCACGAGACCAUAUUGAGAUUGUUUCAGAUGGUAUAAAUUAAUAAUAUUCCACGCACAAUAUUUGUUUAAAUUUCUUUUAACUAGCAUAUUCUCUGUUGGACUCGAAAUAUUUACACGCUCGUGGGCUCAUAACUAUUAUACAGUGUAUGAUUUAGUUGAUCAAAUAAUAACUGAUGACAAAUAAUUACCAAUGUCAAACUAAAGCGUGAAAAGUAUCAUACUAGCAAUAAAUAAUUUAGUUACACAGCUAAAACAAUACUCAUACAACACUGUUUAAAUAUACUGAUUUACACUAGUAAUUGUAAGUACUUGUAAGAACGCCAUUUCCUUGCGAAUAUACUCCCGUGGCGCGGUGCACAACAAUAACCUCGAACCAGUACGCCGCCACGUGCCGGCCGAGUUCUCUGUACCGUCCGCAACAUACCAGAGAGAUGCCACGCAUGCGUAAACACAUCCGUAGUGGGACAAUUUUUUGUGCGUGCAGCCAGCGUUCAUCGAUUUAUUAGACGCUGUCACGUCAAAAAAAAAACCUCCAACAUGAUAGCGAUGUGUUGUUCAUGAAUGAUGUGUUUAAAAUGAAUGAAUCUUAGAGCAAAUGUAAUCAUAUGAUCCUAUCCCUGAUGUAAAUAAUCAGUUUGGGAUUCAUUACUCAGAAUGAAACAUAAGAGCGAAAACGUAGAGAGAACGAGUGACCCGGCCACGCAUCCAGUGUGAUUCAUUCGUGGAAUGAAGCAAUUUUUAAGUAAUCACUAGCACUAAUGUCUACUUUGUCAUAAAUCUAUCUCAUUAAUACAAGUGACCACCAUUAAUAUUAUAUACAAAAAGGAUGAAAAACAGCAUACCAAUAGAAAAAUAUAACUUGUAUUGAGCAGUCAGAUUUUCUUACUAAACUUAAAUUAAUAACAAUAACUUGUUUCACCAUCAAAAACAAUACUGUACGUAUUGGCAAUAUUAUAUAAUGAAUAGUGAUAAAACUGAAAUAACAGCAAAAUUGAGGUCAAUAUACCAAAAUGAAUAGAAAAAAACAAAAUUCACCACAACUAUCUCAUUUUUCCUGUUAAAUGCUGAAUUGAUGUCAUGAAUCUUUGAUUUAAAGUAUUAUUAAAAACAUAAAUACUCUGUACUAAGGAAAAAAAUUUACUGAGUUCCUACAUAAUUUUUUUUUAAGUCAAGUUAAUUUAAAGCAGUCAAUAGCUGAUACCAACAGACAUGGCUGAAAACCUACAGAGAAACAUGUGGUUUUGGGUAUACAACAUUGCAUUCUUUUAUUUGUAUGUAUAGUACUGAAAUAAUAAGACAGUGUCAAAAAGUAAAAUUCAAAUUUGAAAAUAUCCUCUUGAGAACUAAAAAACAUUAUAGAAGAAUAUUGACUACUUUCAUUGCAGUUUUUUAGUUUAAGUUACUUUUAUCAAUAUAUUAUGCAGUAUUAUUUUACAUGAACAAUUUAAGGAUCUUACCAGAAAUUUUUGUAGUAGUUUAUGAAUAGUAUUGUGCUAAACAUGUUAUUAUUAUUACAUAUGUUUAAUCUUUAAAGAUGUUAAAGACAUAAUUCAUUUUUAAUGACAAAAUUUGCAUUUUUAUGAAACGAUACAAUUUUAGCUCUACGUAUAAGUAUCACACCAUUGAGAACAAAAGUUUUGUUAGACAUCACAGCACAUCUGAGAUUACAUAUAAAUUACACCUUAAACUUCAUACUAAAAUUUAAAAGCCACUAUAUACAAGUUAUGACAUUAUUUUAAUUAGUGCUUAAGAUACAUUAAUCAUAAUUGAAUAACCUAAUUGUCAAAUUGCAUGUUAUUUAAAUUUUUUUUAGUUAUUUCUUCACUAAAAAUUCAAAAAUAAAUUAUAGUUUAAAAAACUCUAUUAAAAAAAAAAACUUUUGUAGCUAACCCAACUGAAAAGUAGAAAACAAUUUUAAAUUAAAAUUAAGUUAUAAACCAAAUUUUCAAUUUGAUUUAAAAAAAAAACUGGGUCAUUUUUACUACUAACUAAUAAUAAUAGUAAUAACUCUUACAAACUGCUACCAAUGAAUUAUUUGUAACAUUUAAUGUCAAGCACACCAUGCUUUUUUUUUUAAAUAGAAUUAAUCAUUUGAUUGAUAACUUAAAUUUUAUUUUAAAUUUAUUUCCUGCCUUUUAGUUGGGUUAGCUAUAAAAGCGUGUUUUUUUUGUUAACUAUAAUUUGUUUUAAUACCUGUACCUACAGUAGUGUACUUCACAUCUAGAUAUUUAUACAAA
This is a long non-coding RNA of Bacillus rossius redtenbacheri, 7054 nucleotides long. RefSeq lists it as uncharacterized. The transcript is spliced from 4 exons. Lineage: Eukaryota; Metazoa; Arthropoda; Insecta; Phasmatodea; Bacillidae. The record is from RefSeq and is a predicted model, not a curated record.